RNAcentral lists this ribosomal RNA (252 nucleotides) under uncultured bacterium. RNAcentral describes it as "partial 16S ribosomal RNA". It matches the Rfam family "Bacterial small subunit ribosomal RNA", at positions 524 to 776 of the family's 1533-position model. The record is from RNAcentral.
UACGUAGGGUGCAAGCGUUGUCCGGAAUUAUUGGGCGUAAAGAGCUCGUAGGCGGUCUGUCGCGUCUGCUGUGAAAACUCGGGGCUUAACCCCGGGCCUGCAGUGGGUACGGGCAGACUAGAGUGCGGUAGGGGAGACUGGAAUUCCUGGUGUAGCGGUGAAAUGCGCAGAUAUCAGGAGGAACACCGGUGGCGAAGGCGGGUCUCUGGGCAACAACUGACGUGAGGAGCGAAAGCGUGGGGAGCGAACAGG